GUGCUCACUUUGGUAGCACAAAUUCUAAAACUGAAAUAAUUCAGAGAAGAUUAUUAUGGUCUGUAUGCAAGGAUGAUACAAAGAAUUCAUGAGGUGCAUUGGUCUUUG
Molecule: small nuclear RNA, 108 nt
Organism: Equus asinus (donkey)
Lineage: Eukaryota; Metazoa; Chordata; Mammalia; Perissodactyla; Equidae
Source: Ensembl